Molecule: ribosomal RNA, 301 nt
Filed under: uncultured bacterium
Lineage: Bacteria
Description: partial 16S ribosomal RNA
Rfam family: Bacterial small subunit ribosomal RNA
Source: RNAcentral
CAGCCGCCACGGUAAUACAGAGGGUGCGAGCGUUAAUCGGAUUUACUGGGCGUAAAGCGUGCGUAGGCGGCUUUUUAAGUCGGAUGUGAAAUCCCUGAGCUUAACUUAGGAAUUGCAUUCGAUACUGGGAAGCUAGAGUAUGGGAGAGGAUGGUAGAAUUCCAGGUGUAGCGGUGAAAUGCGUAGAGAUCUGGAGGAAUACCGAUGGCGAAGGCAGCCAUCUGGCCUAAUACUGACGCUGAGGUACGAAAGCAUGGGGAGCAAACAGGAUUAGAUACCCCCGUAGUCCCUGUCCUUAUACC